GACGAACGCUGGCGGCGUGCCUAAUACAUGCAAGUAGAACGCUGAAGAGAGGAGCUUGCUCUUCUUGGAUGAGUUGCGAACGGGUGAGUAACGCGUAGGUAACCUGCCUUGUAGCGGGGGAUAACUAUUGGAAACGAUAGCUAAUACCGCAUAACAAUGGAUGACACAUGUCAUUUAUUUGAAAGGGGCAAUUGCUCCACUACAAGAUGGACCUGCGUUGUAUUAGCUAGUAGGUGAGGUAAUGGCUCACCUAGGCGACGAUACAUAGCCGACCUGAGAGGGUGAUCGGCCACACUGGGACUGAGACCCGGCCCAGACUCCUACGGGAGGCAGCAGUAGGGAAUCUUCGGCAAUGGGGGCAACCCUGACCGAGCAACGCCGCGUGAGUGAAGAAGGUUUUCGGAUCGUAAAGCUCUGUUGUAAGUCAAGAACGGGUGUGAGAGUGGAAAGUUCACACUAUGACGGUAGCUUACCAGAAAGGGACGGCUAACUACGUG
RNAcentral lists this ribosomal RNA (497 nucleotides) under uncultured bacterium. RNAcentral's name for it is "partial 16S ribosomal RNA". It matches the Rfam family "Bacterial small subunit ribosomal RNA", at positions 28 to 507 of the family's 1533-position model. The record is from RNAcentral.